RNAcentral lists this long non-coding RNA (496 nucleotides) under Lathyrus oleraceus (garden pea). RNAcentral's name for it is "Pisum sativum (pea) long non-coding RNA (PSAT_LNC012486)". Lineage: Eukaryota; Viridiplantae; Streptophyta; Magnoliopsida; Fabales; Fabaceae. The record is from RNAcentral.
UUUUUAGAAGAGCAUACAAUUUACACACUAUAAGAAGAAUCAAAACAUAUUGUCUUUUCUAACUUUGCAAAAAGAAAAAACAUGGCUAAAAUUCACAUGUUUAUUUAUGCCAUGAUAAUAUUUCUUUCUCUAUCUCUUGUUGCAGCAGUACUCCGUAAGACUUAUUUUUUAUACUUUUCAAAAUUCUUUAUUUAUGUUUAAGUAAUAUAAUUGUAUUCUCACUAUUUUAAUUGCAGCACUUGAACGUGAAUGUAACAUUGAUGAAGAUUGUACAAAGGUGGUUGAAUAUCCUUUGGUUAUGAGGUGCAUUGGUUACAAAUGUGUAGUUCUUUUAACUAAUAAUCAUGGUAGUAAAUAUUUGUAGUAAAUGGAUACUAAUAAAUAAUCUCUUCUACAAGAAAAAUAUUUGUAAUAAAUGGAUACUAAUAAUUGUUAUUUUUACUUAUAUUUUAUUUUCUAAUUUUAUAAACCUCAAAGAUAUCUUAGACUGUCUUCU